UAUAUAAAGCAAAUUUUUCCGUUAAGUUAUUUAUUUAUUCCACAUAAAUAAGUAAUCUGAUCGAAUGACAUGUUUUGAUAAUUAUCCUCUACGCGCUUUUAUCAAAGUGUUAUUUAAGUACGAAAAAAACAAAUAUCCUGUUAUUAAGAUUGUUAAAUAUCACAUAUUUUAUGUAUAAAAACUAUUUGACAACAUUUUAAAAGAAGGAACAUGAAAUGGCAGAAACUAGACACCAUAGGUUUCAGAGUAACUCUACGAUGUCUGAAAAGUAUUUGUAGCGUUUUUCGUGUUGUCAUGUCGGCGGGGCGAAAACACGUAAACUCAAAAGUAAUGUAUUUUGUCGUGUUUUCGUGUAGGCGGGGAGAAAACACAAACACUCGACAGAUAAGGUAUUUGUCAUGUUUUCGUAUUGGCGGUGCAAAAACACGAAAACACGACAAAUAAAGGGCGCCAACACGACUUAUUUAUACCCGCCAACACGAAAACUCGACAGAUAAAUUUGUCGUGUCGGCGCCCUUCUAAACGUCGAGUUUUCGCGUAAAAUGUGUUGGUUUUUUUUUUGCGUUUUCGCCCCGCCGACACGACAACACGAAAACACGACAAAUUAGGUUUUUGUCGAGUUUUCGUGUUUUCGCCCCGCCAACACGAAAUGGCAGAAAUCAUCCACGAUAGAAACCAAUGGCAAAGGGUUUUAGAAGCAUUUUCUUUCUUUUCGAACGAAGAAUUCAGAAUUUAUUUAUAUUCACUAAAGCUGCAGUAGGAGAUCUGAGAUUUAAAAAAAAAUACAAUAGUAUGUCUGAUGUCAGCUAUCGUUUUAAGAAUACAAAGUGUAUGUAUAACAGACCCGGUUCAAGAAAUAUUUCAUUGGGGUGCGGUGGGCCAUCUUCCCUCUUGAGUGCUGGAAAAUGCGCGCGCUGAUGACGUAAUUUUGUAAUUAUAAACGAAUACUUAACAGAUGUUUAUUUACAGAGAUAAAAAUCAUCUUUAAAGAAGGGGUUAUUUGUCUUCAUAAAACAUAACUUCUUUCAUUUGAGAUUACAAACAUACGUCAAUAUAUACAUCUACUACAUACAUACUUCUGUUUAUAAACAUAAACAUGUUCGAUCAAAACAUUUUAUAUGAUUUUACAAGAAUAAUUUGUGGUAAAAGUUAUAGCAUAUAUUUAGUUUCAUAUCUUAGAAAUUAGAUAUUUCAUUAAUAUUCAAGUUAUAUGAUGCGUAUAUAAGGGGGGUCAAUAUACGUUUCCGUAAUCGAAGGUCAAACCAUAUAAAUGGGUUUAAAUCUGUGGUGUCUGAUGCACAAAUAUGGAUUUAACCACUUAUAUAAUUGGCAGUAAGUAAGACCUUAAUACACAGCCAAUACUCUCCUAACUUGUUCUUAAAUGUUAAAGAUAUGUAACACGUUAUUUAGUUUUCAUUUCGACUGUUGUAUUUAGGAAUAAUACAUUAAAGCAAUAAAUGUGAUAUAUGUAACCAAUACCUCGUAGGAAAAUUGUUGUGAUUGAUUUAUUUGUCAACUGCAUGCCUAUUUUGUAUUCCAAUAGUUUUUAUGUCUCCUAAAAGUCUUUCGUUAGCUUUUUAUUUGUUUAUUAUUUGAUGUUUCAUUUCAUGUCGAUUGUUAAAUUUGUAAAUUAUGUGUUAUAGAAAAUAUUGUUUGAAGUCAGUACGACGUUCCCACAGUCCUGUAGGAAAAUUGUUGAAAAAUUGUUAUUGCGGUUCACAAAGGAACUCUCCAGUAGACGUGCAAUAUGGCAGACGAAGCUUGCGAAGUGGAGACAUUGCAGGUGUCAACGAGACCGGACAAUGCAUGAUCUGCUAUGACAGGGAACCUUCAAUGUUUCAUGUGGGCAUACAAGUUGCCUUGCAUGUGCACUGCAUCUAAAGUGUAAUGGAAGCAAAUACCCUCAAUACAUAGAAAAUAUCGAUAAAGUGCGCUCAGUUGUCAAAGACUUUAAUAAUGUUUAAACAACUAUUGACUCUUGGGGGCAAUUGAUGUUCUACAUAAUGUGCUGUUUAUGUUCUACAAAUGUGCUAUUGAUGUUCCUUAGAAAUGUGCAGUUUAUGUUCCACAGAAUUAUUUAAAACUCCUUUGACAUUUAAAGUUUGUACAGUUUUACUUAAUAGCCCGAAAGUAGUUUAAGUUGCCAAAUGAAUAACAUAUGAAUAUGCAUAUGUUACUGUUAAAGUUCAACGUCAUUUCAGUGUAUCGAAUGGCAAAAUAGGCUCAUCUAUUAUUUGGUGGACUAAAAUUUUGACAAAGCAGUAUGUUAAUACAAAAAGGUUGUCUCCGAAAUUUAGGGGCAUUCUUACCUAUUUCAGUAUAAAUCAACACAGAGAAUUAAUUUCCAAUUUCAAAUAUCAUUAAUAUUUAGUGAAUAUUGCUAAAAUAUAGCACAGAAUUUGUUGUCUAUGAGCUUCUGAAAAAAUAAGACUUUCCCUUUUUAAACACAAAUGAUUAAGUAUUAUUGGAUUGUAAAUCUUCUUAUGUUUUAUGAAAUGGCAUAUGUGAAUGUGAUUAUGAGUUUCGUUUACUUAUUUGGUAACUGAAAACAUUGAUAAAUUUAGUGAAAAUAAAUUUGUUUCAUUUUUUU
Long non-coding RNA from Mercenaria mercenaria, 2590 nucleotides. RefSeq lists it as uncharacterized. NCBI's taxonomy places the organism in Eukaryota, Metazoa, Mollusca, Bivalvia, Venerida, Veneridae. The transcript has 3 exons. The record is from RefSeq and is a predicted model, not a curated record.